AUUGAACGCUGGCGGCAUGCUUUACACAUGCAAGUCGAACGGUAACAGGUUAAGCUGACGGGUGGCGAACGGGUGAGUAAUGCAACGGAACGUACCCGAUCGUGGGGGAUAACGCAGCGAAAGCUGCGCUAAUACCGCAUACGAUCUGAGGAUGAACGCGGGGGACCCUAAGGCCUCGCGUGAUCGGAGCAGCCGAUGUCAGAUUAGGUAGUUGGUGGGGUAAAGGCUCACCAAGCCACAGUUCUGUAGCUGGUUUGAGAGGACGACCAGCCACACUGGGACUGGGACACUGCCCAGACUCCUACGGGAGGCAGCAGUGGGGAAUUUUGGACAAUGGGCGAAAGCCUGAUGCAGCAAUGCCGCGUGCAGGAAGAAGGCCUUCGGGUUGUAAACUGCUUUUGUACGGAGCGAAAAGGUCCCCUCUAAUACAGGGGGCUCAUGACGGUACCGUAAGAAUAAGCACCGGCUAACUACGUGCCAGCAGCCGCGGUAA
RNAcentral lists this ribosomal RNA (493 nucleotides) under uncultured bacterium. RNAcentral describes it as "partial 16S ribosomal RNA". It matches the Rfam family "Bacterial small subunit ribosomal RNA", at positions 30 to 523 of the family's 1533-position model. The record is from RNAcentral.